RNAcentral lists this small nuclear RNA (322 nucleotides) under Anolis carolinensis (green anole). RNAcentral's name for it is "7SK RNA". It matches the Rfam family "7SK RNA". Rfam says of the family: 7SK was discovered as an abundant small nuclear RNA in the mid-70s but a possible function has only recently been suggested. Two independent studies have found that 7SK RNA binds the CDK9/cyclin T complex (known as elongation factor P-TEFb). The record is from Rfam by way of RNAcentral. Lineage: Eukaryota; Metazoa; Chordata; Lepidosauria; Squamata; Anolidae.
AGAGGUGAGGGCAAUCUGGCUGUGACAUCUGUCACCCCAUUGAUCACCAAGGUUGUUUUGGCUGAUCUGGCUGGCUAGGCAGGUGUCCCCUUCCUCCCUCACCACUCCAUGUGUGUCCCUCCCGAAGCCGCGUGCUCGCUGUAAGAGGAUGCCAUCCCAGGUAUAGAAGGAGUGUACUCCUUCUAUACCUCCAGUCUUUGAUUCCGGGUAUACGAUAGCUGCACUCCCCUGCUAGAACCUCCAAACAAGCUCAAGGUUUGCACUCACUUUUUCCUCUGAAGUUUCAAAAAACUGGAUUUGGUGUGUGUCACUAUUUUAUUUU